This 510-nucleotide ribosomal RNA is filed under the name uncultured bacterium. Its description in RNAcentral is "bacterial SSU rRNA". It matches the Rfam family "Bacterial small subunit ribosomal RNA", at positions 28 to 526 of the family's 1533-position model. The record is from RNAcentral.
GAUGAACGCUAGCGACAGGCUUAACACAUGCAAGUCGAGGGGCAGCAAGAAUUGUAGCAAUACAAUUUGUUGGCGACCGGCGCACGGGUGAGUAACGCGUAUGCAACCUACCUAUCAGAGGGGGAUAGCCCGGUGAAAGCCGGAUUAAUACCGCAUAAAACAGGGGUCCCGCAUGGGAAUAUUUGUUAAAGAUUAAUUGCUGAUAGAUGGGCAUGCGUCCCAUUAGAUAGUUGGUGAGGUAACGGCGCACCAAGUCAAUGAUGGGUAGGGGUUCUGAGAGGAAGGUCCCCCACACUGGAACUGAGACACGGUCCAGACUCCUACGGGAGGCAGCAGUGAGGAAUAUUGGUCAAUGGUCGGAAGACUGAACCAGCCAAGUCGCGUGAGGGAAGACAGCCCUAUGGGUUUUAAACCUCUUUUGUAAUGGAAGAAUAAGUCUUACGUGUAGGACGAUGCCAGUACAUUACGAAUAAGCAUCGGCUAACUCCGUGCCAGCAGCCGCAGUAACAC